Molecule: transfer RNA, 17 nt
Filed under: Okanagana rimosa
Lineage: Eukaryota; Metazoa; Arthropoda; Insecta; Hemiptera; Cicadidae
Also listed under: 2 other names
Description: partial tRNA-Lys
Source: RNAcentral
CAUUAAGUGGCCGAAUG